AUGGUUGUGAUAUCAUUAGCUACUAAAGGUGUGGGAGGAGUUAGCAAUAUCACUGUAUAUGCUGCACCAGAUUGUGUUAUAGCAAUUGAUACAUACUCCAAUUGUGGUCUAUGCCAAACUCUAGCAGUAGCAACUGGAGGUUACAAGAUUCACUUUAAUGGAAAUUCAAUUCGGAUUUUUACAACACCAGCUUGCACAGGCCAAGGCACACUGAUAAGUAAAGAUCAAGAAGCAUGUGGUGUGGGCACCAUUCCUAUUCUCAGUUUUGUUAUACUCUGUUGAGAAUGAGAUAUAGUGACUUUUAUUAAAUUAAAUAAAUAAGAGGCAAAGCUUCAAUAUCAUGAGACUUUAGGCCAUGUUCUAUAGAAAAAUUCAUUAUUACAUCAAGUCAUCUUCAUAAUUCAAGCAAUUUAUGUGUGAUGUA
Molecule: long non-coding RNA, 424 nt
Filed under: Selaginella moellendorffii
Lineage: Eukaryota; Viridiplantae; Streptophyta; Lycopodiopsida; Selaginellales; Selaginellaceae
Description: long non-coding RNA (SMOE_LNC000084)
Source: RNAcentral